UUGAAAAACAAAACCCAAAAACUCUUACAAAAUGUACAAAACAUUCAAGGUCUUAAUCUAUUAUAAUACCAUCGUUGGGUGUCUCAGUGUCUAUCAUUCCGACUAAACUUCAUUCCAUCUUUUACUUUGGUGAUAAUAGAUUCCCAUGACUAACGUUCGGGGUUUCGUGUGUUAUCUUAUUUCCGAUAUCAACAGUUUUGACUGCAAACUUUUUAAAAAAUCUAUAGAUCAACUAAAAAUUAGACUAUAUAGUCUUUGGUGCUUUCAUACUAUAAUAAUAUGUACUCUAAAAAAUAAAAUGGUAUAUCAAACGCUGUCGUUUUCUUGUCAACUAACCAUAAUGAGAUAUUUUCUUCAAGCUUGAAACCGAAGAAUCAUAAUGUAUCUCUUACCUAAGCCUCAGUUAGGCCCGACCUAUCGUCCAUCAUCUUAUAAAUUAAUUUAUUUUGUCUGAAACAUCGAAACAAUUUUAAAGCAGAAAUUAAAGUGAAAAAUGGAAAUGAUUCCCAUAUUGAUGAAAACUUGAAAAGUCGGAAUAAUUCGUUGGUCCCUCCAUUAACUAACGUGAAUUAUUGCAAAUGGGACCGUACUAAAAUUUGGGUGUGGUUUCGAUAUAUAGUACCAAAAAAGGUUAAAAAGUAAAACUUAAUUAAAAGAAAUAAAUUGUGUUUGUGUGUGUCGUCGGUGUCGAAGGAUGUUUGGGAACCAAGUGGGGUUAAUUUCAAAGAUUUACAAAAAUGGAAAGUCUUUGGACCGCAAAACGUAUGGACAUCGUACCUAAGUUCCUGACUCCUUACUAUAUUUGUACAUUAACGUGUUCCCCUUUGUCCCUUUUUUGUCAUCUCCUUUAGAUUUUUUCCCUUCUCAAUAAUUUAACCCUGAGUAUUCAUUUGUCCCCAAGCCAUAUCGUAAAUCCGCUUUGUACUAACACAUAUAUAAAUAUCAUCAUCCAAAUUCUUAAUCAUAUGUCUCUAAUUCGACAGUUUAUCUUUUUCUUUGAUAAGUUAAGCCUUGUAACUUAAAACUUCAUUUUGAAAAAUCUUAAAACAUUCUUCUCUCUUG
RNAcentral lists this small RNA (1062 nucleotides) under Arabidopsis thaliana (thale cress). RNAcentral describes it as "putative long intergenic non-coding RNA". Lineage: Eukaryota; Viridiplantae; Streptophyta; Magnoliopsida; Brassicales; Brassicaceae. The record is from RNAcentral.